This is a long non-coding RNA of Neopsephotus bourkii (Bourke's parrot), 2160 nucleotides long. RefSeq lists it as uncharacterized. The record is from RefSeq and is a predicted model, not a curated record. NCBI's taxonomy places the organism in Eukaryota, Metazoa, Chordata, Aves, Psittaciformes, Psittacidae. The transcript has 4 exons.
CAACUCUGCGGAAAGAGUUUGAAUUUCAAGCUGAAGCAGCAGCCGAAGCAGGAAUCACGUACACGAGACACGGGCCUUCCUGAGCUCCCCGAGCAUUGGAAACAGACUCUGCUAAUUGAACACUAGCCCCAGGACAUUGAUGUAUUCAAGAACCGUUUCAAAACCUACACCUCCUAUGCAAAUCAUGCUGCCAUUUUAAAACUAAGUAAACUCAGGCUGUAUUGAGACCAUGAGGCUUUCUGACCUCGGAAUGUCACCCUCUACCCUUCUUUCCAUUUUAAGUGGUGGUGCACAGACCCAUCUUUUCAUUAACUACAACAUGUAUGGUUUGGCUUUACUUUAAAGACAUGUUGCAUCUUAGCCUUAGCCAGCCUCAGACUUCCUCUUUGCCAGGCCAGUAACACCACUUCAGUUUCUCAUGCUUCCCAUUUUCUAGUUGUAUUCUACUCAGAACACUCAUACAUGAUGAAAUAACUGCUGUGUGUAUAUGGAGGCGUAUUUUCUUAUUCCUUGUACUUAUAUAAAGAAAUACUUUACCUGCAAGAGGGAAGCACUUUGGUUUGGAUUUAAAAAGUCCCAGGUACGUGUGUGUUGCUCUAAGGCCAGCUUAUAAAAGACCAUAAGGAAAUGCAUGUUGCUGUUAGGAAGGCAGGAACAAAGAUUUGUGGCUAUCCUUAGUUCUAAGUGGAGAUGGAUCCAGAGCGAUUUAUGUUAUUAUGUUCUAGGGGAUCAAAGUUUUGUCUUGAUCACAGAUCUUUAGUUCACCCCUUGUCCACCCUCCACACUUGGAAUUUAACCUACUGGAAACCAGUGGGGGUAUCAGGAAUGGGUUACAUAUGCUCCUGUGAACAGGUCAACAGUAGACUGCAACCAGCAACACAUUAGCGAUUGAGAAGUCAGAGUAUGGUACUUGUGAAGACUGCAGCAUACCGAGGAAUACUGAGCUAGGACUGCUGCUGUCCAACACCCUGUGGUACACUGCCCCAGUGGUAGGAGCAAUACGAAAAGAGCUAUGUGUCUUUUGAUCAUUGCUGUCAUCCGACCAGUCACUAUAGCUGUGGCAUGUAGAUGUUGAAAGUUGGUUCCUUCACUUCUCCCAAGCAGAUGCAGUAUCUGGCUGGGGAGAUCCUUCAGCAAGAAUUCUACCAUGCAUUGAUCCAACUUUCUUUCUCAUGUAACAUUUUGCUUCUUUUAUCUUGUACAUAAGUUCCCUAAAAUACUUAUUUUUCCUUCUCCAAAUACUUACAUUAAGUGCCUCCCUGUUUACAAAAUCCUUGACAGUAAUUAAAUAGCUUAUAUUUUACAAUCUCUGCUUGGUAUAAUUACCCUACUAUUAGUUCUCCCUGUUGACUGUGUUUAUCUUCAUCUACUGCCAUCAGCUCUGAUAAAAUUUGUAGUGUAUGAAGUGCGUUGUACAGUGAAGAACCAGAAUUAUGAAGGACCUGCAGGUGCUACCACAAGGAUCCCCAGGAGAGGAAAUCAGGAUAGCACAUAUUGGCAGAUGAGAGCAUAAUUCUGGCUAGGAGGAGAGCACAAGUGAGAAGCAUGUUGAGUCAGUCUCCUCCAAAGAUGAUCCUUGAAAACCCAAAGGUUAUUUGCAUUUCUAAUGCUUAUUUUGAAGCUUUGCAUGAACCAAAAAGUGGAGGUGAUAACUCAUUAACACGCAAAAUCUGGAAGUACAAUAUUAUGGGGAAAAAGGGUUUUUUUUUGAGUUGGAGAACUUAAUGCACAAUGGACAUUGUAAAGCUUUGCAGCAGUGUAGACAAAACAGGAUGUUAUCGCCCACAGAUGAAGGAUGUUUGAGUGGCAGCGUUCAAUUUCUGCAGACAGUAAAGAGUGUUACAAGAAACAGGAGUCUGAACUGGGGGAAUAAUUACAUAUUUCUGCCCCCAGCCACAAUUAUCUCGGAAGGUCUUUCAGCUCCAAGGGCUGACAGACCUUCCUGUGUAUUUGUGCCAUGGGCAUGGGAGGAAAAAACAGCUGGGCGAGGAUGCAGAGCCUGAAGUGUGAGCUGGCAACAGGCCUGUUGCUCCUGCUGCUCUCACAAGGGCUGUGGAAAAGUGAGGAUGCCGGGUGGUGCUGGGUGGGACCACCUCUGGCAACAAAGCUGCUGCUGCCUCUCAGGCAGCAGGAAGAGUGGAAAGCUGCAAAGGUGGAGGG